UGCGUAGGUGGUGAGGUAAGUCGGACGUGAAAUCUCGGAGCUCAACUCCGAAAUGGCAUUGGAAACUACCUCGCUCGAGGGUUUGAGGGGGGACUGGAAUACUUGGUGUAGCAGUGAAAUGCGUAGAUAUCAAGUGGAACACCAGUGGCGAAGGCGAGUCCCUGGAAAACUCCUGACACUGAGGCACGAAAGCCAGGGGAGCAAACA
Molecule: ribosomal RNA, 207 nt
Filed under: uncultured bacterium
Lineage: Bacteria
Description: partial 16S ribosomal RNA
Rfam family: Bacterial small subunit ribosomal RNA
Source: RNAcentral